This 222-nucleotide long non-coding RNA is filed under the name Setaria italica (foxtail millet). RNAcentral's name for it is "long non-coding RNA (SITA_LNC007090)". Lineage: Eukaryota; Viridiplantae; Streptophyta; Magnoliopsida; Poales; Poaceae. The record is from RNAcentral.
ACCCCCCCUAAAAUAGAACAACUCCAGUUCAUCCAAGAUCAAUACAAACAAACACACAGGACGUAGGGUAUUACGCGAUCUAGCGGCCCGAACCUGUCUAAAUCGUGUUCCUUGUGUCACCAUUGAUUCCUUGAUUCUCGGCGACCCUUAUAGCACAAAAGACCACCUAGGGUACCCCCUAGGCGGGUUGCCGGUCUAAAACACUGACAGGAUAUGAGCCCG